Molecule: ribosomal RNA, 435 nt
Filed under: uncultured bacterium
Lineage: Bacteria
Description: partial 16S ribosomal RNA
Rfam family: Bacterial small subunit ribosomal RNA
Source: RNAcentral
AGCGAACGCUGGCGGCAGGCUUAACACAUGCAAGUCGAGCGGGCACUUUCGGGUGUCAGCUGCGGACGGGUGAGUAACGCGUGGGAACGUGCCCGCUGGUUCGGAAUAACUCAGGGAAACUUGAGCUAAUACCGGAUACGCCCUUUUGGGGAAAGGCUUGCUGCCGGAGGAUCGGCCCGCGUCUGAUUAGCUAGUUGGUGCGGUAACGGCUCACCAAGGCGACGAUCAGUAGCUGGUCUGAGAGGAUGAUCAGCCACACUGGGACUGAGACACGGCCCAGACUCCUACGGGAGGCAGCAGUGGGGAAUAUUGGACAAUGGGCGCAAGCCUGAUCCAGCCAUGCCGCGUGAGUGAUGAAGGCCUUAGGGUUGUAAAGCUCUUUUAUCCGGGACGAUAAUGACGGUACCGGAGGAAUAAGCCCCGGCUAACUUCGUG